Molecule: ribosomal RNA, 253 nt
Filed under: uncultured bacterium
Lineage: Bacteria
Description: partial 16S ribosomal RNA
Rfam family: Bacterial small subunit ribosomal RNA
Source: RNAcentral
UACGAAGGGGGCUAGCGUUGCUCGGAAUCACUGGGCGUAAAGGGCGCGUAGGCGGAUCUUUAAGUCGGGGGUGAAAGCCUGUGGCUCAACCACAGAAUUGCCUUCGAUACUGUCGAGCUUGAGACCGGAAGAGGUAAGUGGAACUGCGAGUGUAGAGGUGAAAUUCGUAGAUAUUCGCAAGAACACCAGUGGCGAAGGCGGCUUACUGGUCCGGUUCUGACGCUGAGGCGCGAAAGCGUGGGGAGCAAACAGG